RNA transcript from Biomphalaria glabrata, 1313 nucleotides. It is a transcript of the gene named phospholipase A and acyltransferase 4-like, with no coding region annotated. The transcript has 8 exons. The record is from RefSeq and is a predicted model, not a curated record. NCBI's taxonomy places the organism in Eukaryota, Metazoa, Mollusca, Gastropoda, Planorbidae.
GUUCCUAAGACAAAUCUCAUGUCACUUUGGUCAACAAUCUUUAGUUUUAGUCUUCAUAAGUCAUUAGCUCUACACUUCUCUAGAAAUGUUUAAUUUGGCAUGUUAUCUACAAAUGCAUAAGAGAACAGUAGAUGGACGGUCCUCUUGCAAAACUACACAGAUUUAGCUUCAAUUGAAAUGUCCAGCCAUGGCCAACCAAAGCGGACCUUCAAAUCCAGGAUUGGUCCAGCAUGGGGAGACACUGAAAAGGCGUAUUCAGAACGAAGCGUUCCUGCAGCAAGUGAAACCCGGAGACAUGAUUGAGUUCCCAAGAAAAUUUUAUUCUCACUGGGCAAUUUAUGUCGGCAAAGGUAAAGUCAUUCAUCUGACUGGAGAUGCAGGCGACAUGGCAUUGGAUGAAGCAGGAACUGUUAAAUUGGAGGAUUUUUGGACAGUAGUUGGAACGAGCACACCAAAGAUCAAUAACUUCUUGGAUGCUGAGAUGGAACCUCUACCAGAGAAAUACAUUAUAUCUAACGCAAUGAGCAAACUUGGUGCCGAAGGAUAUCAUUUGAUUUUCUUAAACUGUGAACACUUCGUUACCUGGUGCAGAUAGGGCAAGGCGAAAAGUAGUCAGGUUAAACAUGUGACCAAAGUCUUAGGAAACUUUGGAUCAAGUUUGAAAGACAAACUGAAUGCUAUAGCCAGUACUGCCCAAAACAAACAGGAAAAAGACAUUGUUUCCGGAGUGCUAUCCCUGGGAGUAACGUUAGCUAACAAAGGGAAAGACUACAUUGAGAAGAAUGAGGACGCUGAUCUGAAAACCUUGAAACAAAGAAAACAAAGCUCCAAAUCUACUAAGAAGUCAAGAGACUUGGGAGAAGCCAAAAUAGACUAAAUGAUGUGCUUUCCAAGAAAUGUAGGAUUGUAUUUGGGAUCUGAUUGGAUAUGUCAAAGUUACGUGCCAACUUUCAUUGUCACAACUAAAUCCAGACGUGAUGUUGUUGUCCAUAGAUAGUUGAUCUUUUUAGAAAGCGCUUAAAAAUAUGCAUUCUUUAGGAAAGAGAUCUAAAUAUUUCUUAUCUAUUAUUUAAGAAACUGUUUUCCAAUUAGGCUUUUAUUAACUAAAUACCUGAAGUCAAUGUUAUGUUCAGCUUAUAUGCAAGUUUGUGUGUUUACCACACUAUGUCAGCAGUAGACAUUGUUAUUUCAAAAUCCGAAAUGUAUACACAAAAUCUAUAUUAUCUUAUCUUAUAAAAUACAGAUGAAACAUAUGUAGUAGUAGAAAAAUCUCAAAAUUUGUUAUAUAAAUUUCAUUUCUUGACAUAUCCUUA